Molecule: ribosomal RNA, 253 nt
Filed under: uncultured prokaryote
Description: partial 16S ribosomal RNA
Rfam family: Bacterial small subunit ribosomal RNA
Source: RNAcentral
GACGAACCGUGCGAACGUUGUUCGGAAUCACUGGGCUUAAAGGGCGCGUAGGCGGUUCAUCAAGUCCGGGGUGAAAUCUUUCGGCUUAACCGGAAAAGUGCCUUGGAUACUGAUGAGCUGGAGGGAGGUAGGGGGAGCUGGAACUUCCAGUGGAGCGGUGAAAUGCGUUGAUAUUGGAAGGAACUCCGGUGGCGAAAGCGAGCUCCUGGACCUCUUCUGACGCUGAUGCGCGAAAGCUAGGGGAGCAAACGGG